AGUAACUGCGAGUGAAGCGGCAAAAGCUCAAAUUUGAAAUCUGGCGUCUUUGGCGUCCGAGUUGUAAUUUGGAGAGGCAUCUUCGGAGAUGGCGCUGUCCUAAGUUCCUUGGAACAGGACAUCACAGAGGGUGAGAAUCCCGUGCCUGGAUGGCUGUCCAUCUCCAUGUGAAGAGUCUUCGACGAGUCGAGUUGUUUGGGAAUGCAGCUCAAAAUGGGUGGUAAAUUUCAUCUAAAGCUAAAUAUUGGCGAGAGACCGAUAGCGCACAAGUAGAGUGAUCGAAAGAUGAAAAGCACUUUGAAAAGAGAGUUAAAAAGUACGUGAAAUUGUUGAAAGGGAAGCGCUUGAGACCAGACUCAAUCUUUGGUGAUCAGCUGUGCUUCUGCGCAGUGCACUUGCUAUUGAUUGGGCCAGCAUCGGUUCCGACGGUGGGAUAAAAGGCGGAGGAAUGUAGCUUCCUUCGGGGAGUGUUAUAGCCUCCGUCACAAUGCCAUCAGUUGGGACCGAGGACCGCGCUUCGGCUAGGAUGCUGGCGUAAUGGUCUUAAGCGACCCGUCUUGAAACACGGACCAAGGAGUCUAACAUCUAUGCGAGUGUUCGGGUGGAAAACCCUUGCGCGUAAUGAAAGUGAACGGAGGUGGGAACCCGCAAGGGUGCACCAUCGACCGAUCCUGAUGUCUUCGGAAGGAUUUGAGUAAGAGCAUAGCUGUUGGGACCCGAAAGAUGGUGAACUAUGCCUGAAUAGGGUGAAGCCAGAGGAAACUCUGGUGGAGGCUCGCAGCGGUUCUGACGUGCAAAUCGAUCGUCAAAUUUGGGUAUAGG
RNAcentral lists this ribosomal RNA (822 nucleotides) under Perilachnea hemisphaerioides. RNAcentral describes it as "partial large subunit ribosomal RNA". It matches the Rfam family "Eukaryotic large subunit ribosomal RNA", at positions 82 to 921 of the family's 3401-position model. The record is from RNAcentral. Lineage: Eukaryota; Fungi; Ascomycota; Pezizomycetes; Pezizales; Pyronemataceae.